UGUUAUUGUAUUUGUAAAAUGGUGCAUCUUUGUUUGAAAAUUGCUUAAGUUUUUGAAAUGUCUACCCAUCCAGCAUGAUUAAUGCGAUACAUACAGUGGAGCAGCAGAGUGAGUGGAGAAUUAGAGUCGGUGCCAGUUCACCUAGAGGCAUUUAUCUUUUCUUUUUCCCUGGUGCCUGCGCUGAGCCUGAGGGUAAGCUGACACUUUUUUUUUUUAAUAAAUUAAGCUUCAUUUUCUGUUUUGCGUGUGUGCUAAGAACCUUGAAGGGAAUGAGCAAUGUCUGCAGCCUCCAACACCAGCUGCCAUGGCAGGAAAGGAAGAGAGGUAUGUUACAGGAGAUGCAUUUAGAGCCGUUGUUAUAG
Molecule: long non-coding RNA, 362 nt
Filed under: Callithrix jacchus (white-tufted-ear marmoset)
Lineage: Eukaryota; Metazoa; Chordata; Mammalia; Primates; Cebidae
Description: lncRNA (ENSCJAG00000075498.1)
Source: RNAcentral